AUGCGCGGCUACCUGCAAGUCGAACGGCAACAGGAGAAAGCUUGCUCUCUGGCUGACGAGUGGCGGACGGGUGAGGAUGCCUGGGAAUCUGCCUGGUGGAGGGGGAUAACUACUGGAAACUUACGCUAAUACCGCAUACCGCCUACAGACCAAAGAGGGGGACCUUCGGACCUCUUGCCAUCGGAUGAGCCCAUAUGGGAUUAGCUAGUUGGUGGGGUAACGGCUCACCUAGGCGACGAUCCCUAGCUGGUCUGAGAGGAUGACCAGCCACACUGGAACUGAGACACGGUCCAGACUCCUACGGGAGGCAGCAGUGGGGAAUAUUGCACAAUGGGCGCAAGCCUGAUGCAGCCAUGCCGCGUGUAUGAAGAAGGCCUUCGGGUUGUAAAGUACUUUCGUUGGGAAGGAAGGCAGUACAGUUAAUACCUGUGCUCAUUGACGUUACCCGCAGAAUAAGCACCGGCUAACUCCGUGCCAGCAGCCGCGGUAAUACGAAGGGUGCAAGCGUUACUCGGAAUUACUGGGCGUAAAGCGCGCGCAGGCGGUUUGUUAAGUCCGAUGUGAAAUCCCCGGGCUCAACCUGGGAACUGCAUCUGAUACUGGCAAGAUUGAAUCUCGUAGAGGGGGGUAGAAUUCCAUGGGGUAGCGGUGAAAUGCGUAGAGAUCUGGAGGAAUACUGCAUGGCGAAGGCGGCCCCCUGGACCAACACUGACGCUCAGGUGCGAAAGCGUGGGGGAGCAAACAGGAUUAGAUACCCUGGUAGUCCACGCCGUAAACGAUGUCGACUUGGAGGUUGUGCGCUUGAGGCGCGGCUUCCGGAGCUAACGCGUUAAGUCUACCCCCCUGGGGGAGAACCGGCCCCAAGGAUUGAACUCUCAUGGAAUUUGCGGGGGGCCCCCCCAAACGGGGGGAACA
RNAcentral lists this ribosomal RNA (915 nucleotides) under Escherichia sp. RNAcentral describes it as "bacterial SSU rRNA". It matches the Rfam family "Bacterial small subunit ribosomal RNA", at positions 44 to 939 of the family's 1533-position model. Lineage: Bacteria; Pseudomonadati; Pseudomonadota; Gammaproteobacteria; Enterobacterales; Enterobacteriaceae. The record is from RNAcentral.